This 655-nucleotide ribosomal RNA is filed under the name Actinoallomurus sp. Its description in RNAcentral is "bacterial SSU rRNA". It matches the Rfam family "Bacterial small subunit ribosomal RNA", at positions 85 to 748 of the family's 1533-position model. Lineage: Bacteria; Bacillati; Actinomycetota; Actinomycetes; Streptosporangiales; Thermomonosporaceae. The record is from RNAcentral.
GGGUACUCGAGCGGCGAACGGGUGAGUAACACGUGAGUAACCUGCCCUUGGCUCUGGGAUAAGCCCGGGAAACUGGGUCUAAUACCGGAUAUGACACGUCACUGCAUGGUGUGCGUGUGGAAAGUUUUUCGGCCAGGGAUGGGCUCGCGGCCUAUCAGCUUGUUGGUGGGGUGAUGGCCUACCAAGGCGACGACGGGUAGCCGGCCUGAGAGGGCGACCGGCCACACUGGGACUGAGACACGGCCCAGACUCCUACGGGAGGCAGCAGUGGGGAAUAUUGCGCAAUGGGCGGAAGCCUGACGCAGCGACGCCGCGUGGGGGAUGAAGGCCUUCGGGUUGUAAACCUCUUUCACCACCGACGAAGCGAAAGUGACGGUAGGUGGGGAAGAAGCGCCGGCUAACUACGUGCCAGCAGCCGCGGUAAUACGUAGGGCGCAAGCGUUGUCCGGAAUUAUUGGGCGUAAAGAGCUCGUAGGCGGUCCGUUACGUCUGCCGUGAAAACCCGAGGCUUAACCUCGGGCCUGCGGUGGAUACGGGCGGACUAGAGGUAGGUAGGGGGAGAAAUGGAAUUCCCGGGUGUAGCGGUUGAAAUGCGCAGAUAUCGGGGAGGAACACCGGGUGGCGAAGGCGGUUCUCUGGGCCUUACCUGACGCUG